Molecule: long non-coding RNA, 324 nt
Filed under: Olea europaea (common olive)
Lineage: Eukaryota; Viridiplantae; Streptophyta; Magnoliopsida; Lamiales; Oleaceae
Description: long non-coding RNA (OEUR_LNC006615)
Source: RNAcentral
AAAUGGUGGAGCCACAAGUGGUAGAUUUGGCUGGGGAUAUGCCAUCUCCUAAGAUUGCUGAUGAGGUAAUCUUUGUUUCACUUUUACUUCCACUUUGUUUAUUGUUGUGAAAAACUUCAAUGUUGGCGACUUUCUUUGCAGGAUGCUGAUAGGACUGUGCGUUCCAUCCAGGACUUGUUCACUUCCUGGGGGCAAGUUAAGAAAUCUCGCCCUGCUUCAACCAGUUGUCCUUCUGCUUCUUCAGAGGAAGAUAUGAAGUUCCUCAAGCAGUCGAUAUUUGAGUAUGUGUCAUUUAUGGAUAUGGAUAUCAGUCAGGCUGGUGCU